UACGUAGGGUGCGAGCGUUGUCCGGAAUUACUGGGCGUAAAGAGCUCGUAGGUGGUUUGUCGCGUCGAUCGUGAAAACUUGGGGCUUAACCCUGAGCUUGCGGUCGAUACGGGCAUGACUGGAGUUCGGCAGGGGAGACUGGAAUUCCUGGUGUAGCGGUGAAAUGCGCAGAUAUCAGGAGGAACACCGGUGGCGAAGGCGGGUCUCUGGGCCGAUACUGACGCUGAGGAGCGAAAGCGUGGGGAGCGAACAGG
This 254-nucleotide ribosomal RNA is filed under the name uncultured bacterium. RNAcentral describes it as "partial 16S ribosomal RNA". It matches the Rfam family "Bacterial small subunit ribosomal RNA", at positions 524 to 776 of the family's 1533-position model. The record is from RNAcentral.